AUUACAAUUUUUCAAAAAAGCAAAAAAAUAAAAACAUCAUAGAUUUGGAUGAAUAGAAUUGUAUUUUAUUAAUGAUCAAAUUUGAUAGAUGCCAAACAACGUUCAAUUCUCCCUUAGGCAUAUGAGAAGGAUUUUCAAAAAUAAUAAGGACAAUUACUUGGUGCAGUCUUCAUCUUCAUCCCCCUCAAUCGCUGCAGCUGAGUGUUUUUCAUUACCAUGAAUGAACCCUCCGCUUCGGAAAAUGGGUUGCACA
This 253-nucleotide long non-coding RNA is filed under the name Lathyrus oleraceus (garden pea). RNAcentral describes it as "Pisum sativum (pea) long non-coding RNA (PSAT_LNC011360)". Lineage: Eukaryota; Viridiplantae; Streptophyta; Magnoliopsida; Fabales; Fabaceae. The record is from RNAcentral.